AGAUUGAACGCUGGCGGCAUGCCUAACACAUGCAAGUCGAACGGUAACAGGCCCGCAAGGGUGCUGACGAGUGGCGGACGGGUGAGGAAUACAUAGGAAUCUGCCCUAUUGUGGGGGAUAACGUAGGGAAACUUACGCUAAUACCGCAUAAGACCGGAAGGUGAAAGUGGGGGACCGCAAGGCCUCACGCGAUUGGAUGAGCCUAUGUCGGAUUAGCUAGUUGGUAGGGUAAAGGCCUACCAAGGCGACGAUCCGUAGCUGGUCUGAGAGGAUGAUCAGCCACACUGGGACUGAGACACGGCCCAGACUCCUACGGGAGGCAGCAGUGGGAAUAUUGGACAAUGGGGGCAACCCUGAUCCAGCAAUCGCCGCGUGUGUGAAGAAGGCC
Molecule: ribosomal RNA, 388 nt
Filed under: uncultured soil bacterium
Lineage: Bacteria
Description: bacterial SSU rRNA
Rfam family: Bacterial small subunit ribosomal RNA
Source: RNAcentral